GACGAACGCUGGCGGCGUGCUUAACACAUGCAAGUCGAACGGAAAGGCCCUGCUUUUGUGGGGUGCUCGAUUGGCGAACGGGUGAGUAAAACAUGAGUAACCUGCCCUUGACUUUGUGAUAACUUCAGGAAACUGGGGCUAAAAUCGGGGAGGAUCUCUUGCUGCAUGUGGUGGGUUGGAGAAUUUCGGUGGUUGGGGCUGGUGUCGCUGCUUAUCAGCUUGAUGGUGGGGUAGUGGAUUUCCAAGGCUUUGACGGUUAGCCUGCCUGAUAGGGUGACCGGCCACCUUGGGACUGAGGUACGGCCCAGACGCCUACGGGAGGCAGCAGUGGGAAAUAUUGCACAAUGGGCGGAAGCCUGAUGUGGAGACGCCGCGUGCGGAAUGACGGCCUUCGGGUUGUAAACAGAUUUCGCCUGUGAUGAAGCGUGAGUGACGGUAAUGAGUCAAGAAGCCACGGCUAACUACGUG
This 468-nucleotide ribosomal RNA is filed under the name uncultured bacterium. Its description in RNAcentral is "partial 16S ribosomal RNA". It matches the Rfam family "Bacterial small subunit ribosomal RNA", at positions 28 to 507 of the family's 1533-position model. The record is from RNAcentral.